This 73-nucleotide transfer RNA is filed under the name Podarcis lilfordi (Lilford's wall lizard). It matches the Rfam family "tRNA". Rfam says of the family: Transfer RNA (tRNA) molecules are approximately 80 nucleotides in length. Their secondary structure includes four short double-helical elements and three loops (D, anti-codon, and T loops). Lineage: Eukaryota; Metazoa; Chordata; Lepidosauria; Squamata; Lacertidae. The record is from Rfam by way of RNAcentral.
GCUAAGAUAGCUCAGUUGGUAGAGCAUGGGACUCUUAAUCCCUGGGUUGUGGGUUCAAGUCCCAUGUUAGGCA